Molecule: ribosomal RNA, 253 nt
Filed under: uncultured bacterium
Lineage: Bacteria
Description: partial 16S ribosomal RNA
Rfam family: Bacterial small subunit ribosomal RNA
Source: RNAcentral
UACAGGGGGGGCAAGCGUUAUUCGGAAUUAUUGGGCGUAAAGGGCGUGUAGGCGGCCUCGUAUGUCUUCUGUGAAAGCCCUCGGCUCAACCGAGGAACUGCAGGAGAAACGGCGAGGCUCGAGUCCGGGAGAGGAAAGCGGAAUUCCCAGUGUAGCGGUGAAAUGCGUAGAUAUUGGGAGGAACACCAGUGGCGAAGGCGGCUUUCUGGACCGGUACUGACGCUGAGACGCGAAAGCCAGGGGAGCAAACGGG